Molecule: ribosomal RNA, 465 nt
Filed under: uncultured bacterium
Lineage: Bacteria
Description: partial 16S ribosomal RNA
Rfam family: Bacterial small subunit ribosomal RNA
Source: RNAcentral
CUACGGGCCGCUCCAGUGGGGAAUAUUGCACAAUGGGCGAAAGCCUGAUGCAGCGACGCCGCGUGGAGGAUGACGGUUUUCGGAUUGUAAACUCCUGUUAAGAGGGAAGAAAGAGGCUUGGUUAAUACCCAGGCAAGAUGACGGUACCUCUAAAGAAAGCUCCGGCUAACUUCGUGCCAGCAGCCGCGGUAAUACGAAGGGAGCAAGCGUUAUUCGGAAUUACUGGGCGUAAAGGGCGCGUAGGCGGACUAUUAAGUCAGUUGUUAAAUCCCAUGGCUUACCCAUGGAUCAGCAAUUGAUACUGAUGGCCUAAGAGGGCGAGAGAGAGAAGUGGAAUUCUCGGAGUAGCGGUAAAAUGCGUAGAUCUCGAGAGGAACACCGAUGGCGAAGGCAGCUUCUUGGCUCGUACCUGACGCUGAGGCGCGAAAGCGUGGGGAGCAAACAGGAUUAGAUACCCCAGUAGUC